GACGAACGCUGGCGGCGUGCCUAACACAUGCAAGUCGAGCGAAUGAAGUUCCUUCGGAAAUGGAUUUAGCGGCGGACGGGUGAGUAACACGUUGGCAACCUGCCUCAUAGAGGGGAAUAGCCUUCCGAAAGGGAGAUUAAUACCGCAUAAGAUUGUAGUACCGCAUGGUACAGCAAUUAAAGGAGCAAUCCGCUAUGAGAUGGGCCCGCGGCGCAUUAGCUAGUUGGUGAGGUAACGGCUCACCAAGGCGACGAUGCGUAGCCGACCUGAGAGGGUGAUCGGCCACAGUGGGACGGAGACACGGCCCAGACUCCUACGGGAGGCAGCAGUGGGGAAUAUUGCACAAUGGGGGAAACCCUGAUGCAGCAACGCCGCGUGAGUGAUGACGGCCUUCGGGCUGUAAAGCUCUGUCUUCAGGGACGAUAAUGACGGUACCUGAGGAGGAAGCCACGGCUAACUACGUGCCAGCAGCCGCCGUAA
Molecule: ribosomal RNA, 480 nt
Filed under: uncultured bacterium
Lineage: Bacteria
Description: partial 16S ribosomal RNA
Rfam family: Bacterial small subunit ribosomal RNA
Source: RNAcentral